RNAcentral lists this non-coding RNA (66 nucleotides) under Saccharolobus solfataricus. Lineage: Archaea; Thermoproteati; Thermoproteota; Thermoprotei; Sulfolobales; Sulfolobaceae. The record is from RNAcentral.
GGUCAGUUGCAGGGUAAUUCAUCAGGGUUCAGUUCUGACCCCACUCAUCAUUUCCCCGCUCCCCGA